UAGAGUUUGAUCCUGGCUCAGGAUGAACGCUGGCGGCGUGCCUAAUACAUGCAAGUCGAGCGAAUGGAUUAAGAGCUUGCUCUUAUGAAGUUAGCGGCGGACGGGUGAGUAACACGUGGGUAACCUGCCCAUAAGACUGGGAUAACUCCGGGAAACCGGGGCUAAUACCGGAUAACAUUUUGAACUGCAUGGUUCGAAAUUGAAAGGCGGCUUCGGCUGUCACUUAUGGAUGGACCCGCGUCGCAUUAGCUAGUUGGUGAGGUAACGGCUCACCAAGGCAACGAUGCGUAGCCGACCUGAGAGGGUGAUCGGCCACACUGGGACUGAGACACGGCCCAGACUCCUACGGGAGGCAGCAGUAGGGAAUCUUCCGCGAUGGACGAAAGUCUGACGGAGCAACGCCGCGUGAGUGAUGAAGGCUUUCGGGUCGUAAAACUCUGUUGUUAGGGAAGAACAAGUGCUAGUUGAAUAAGCUGGCACCUUGACGGUACCUAACCAGAAAGCCACGGCUAACUACGUGCCAGCAGCCGCGGUA
RNAcentral lists this ribosomal RNA (535 nucleotides) under uncultured Bacillus sp. RNAcentral describes it as "bacterial SSU rRNA". It matches the Rfam family "Bacterial small subunit ribosomal RNA", at positions 1 to 522 of the family's 1533-position model. Lineage: Bacteria; Bacillati; Bacillota; Bacilli; Caryophanales; Bacillaceae. The record is from RNAcentral.